AAAAAAAAUAAUUAAUUAUUUUAAUGGGGGUUAAAGUAAAUUGAUUAAAUAAAUAAAAAAUUUUAUAGUUAAAUAGUAUUGAAAAAGAAUUUUGAAAUAAUUUUAAAAAUUAAAUUUUUAAAAAGUAAUUUUAAAUUAAUGUAUCUUGUGUAUCAGAGUUUAAUAAAUAAAUAUUUGUUUAAAAUAUUCUCGAAUUUAAAAGAGAGAAUUAAUUAUGAAAGUUAUUGUGGCAAAAAUAUUUUAAAUAGUUAAUUGGAAAUGAAAUGUUAAUCGUUUUUAAAUAUAUCUAGUUUUUUUAGAAAAAAAUUUAAUUUAAAAUUUAAAAUUAAAUAAUUUAAUAAUUAAUUAUUAAAUUAUAAUUUAAAUUUUAUAUAUUAAGGGAUAAGCUUUAAUUUAAAUUUAUAUAAUUAAAAAAAAUUUUUAUAAAAAUUAAUAUAAUUUAUAUUAUUAAUAAAUUUUAGUUUGUUAUAAAUAAUUUUAAUAAAAAUAAAAUUUAAUAAAAAUUUAUAAAUAUAUAAAAAAAUAGAUUUAAAUUUUAAAAAUUUAGUUAUAAUGUUAAAAUUAGUAUAUAAAUUUAAUUUAUGAGUUAAAUUAAGUGAUAGGUAUUUUAAAGGAAUUCGGCAAAAAUUAUAUUCACUUGUUUAUCAAAAACAUGUCUUUUUGUAAUUAAUUUAAAGUCUAAUCUGCCCACUGAUAUAUAUUUAUAUUAAAGGGCUGCAGUAAUUUGACUGUACAAAGGUAGCAUAAUCAUUAGUCAUUUAAUUGAUGACUUGUAUGAAAGAUUGGAUGAAAUAUAGACUGUCUUUAAAAUAUUAUAUAAAAAUUAAUUUUUUAAUUAAAAAGUUAAAAUAAAUAAAAAAGACGAGAAGACCCUAUAGAGUUUUAUUAUAAAAUUAAUUUUGAUUAUUUAUAAAAAUAAUAUUUGAAUUUAUUUUAAAAUUUUGUUGGGGUGAUGAAAAAAUUUAACGAACUUUUUUUUUUAUUUUAACAUAGAUAAAUGAAUAAAUGAUCCAUUAAUAAUGAUUAUAAGAAAAAAUUACCUUAGGGAUAACAGCGUAAUUUUUUUUUUUAGUUCAUAUAAGAAAAAGAGUUUGCGACCUCGAUGUUGGAUUAAGAUAAAAUUUAAAUGUAGAAGUUUAAAGUUUUUGAUCUGUUCGAUCAUUAAAAUCUUACAUGAUCUGAGUUCAAACCGGUGUAAGCCAGGUUGGUUUCUAUCUUUUUAUAAUAAAAAUAUUUUAGUACGAAAGGAUUGAAUAUUUAAAUUAAAUUUAUUUAAUGAAUUUUAUUAAUUAAUUUAGUAAAUAAUU
RNAcentral lists this ribosomal RNA (1307 nucleotides) under Olene inclusa. RNAcentral's name for it is "16S ribosomal RNA". The record is from RNAcentral. Lineage: Eukaryota; Metazoa; Arthropoda; Insecta; Lepidoptera; Erebidae.